This is a long non-coding RNA of Biomphalaria glabrata, 1007 nucleotides long. RefSeq lists it as uncharacterized. Lineage: Eukaryota; Metazoa; Mollusca; Gastropoda; Planorbidae. The transcript is spliced from 3 exons. The record is from RefSeq and is a predicted model, not a curated record.
GAAAUGAAAGCUGGCAAUAAAACAAACAAAAUGUGUAUGUGUGUAUGUGAUAUACAGAACAAACAUUAUAUAGAUCAGGACAUGGUGUUAACCAAUCAAUAACAACAUCUGGUGAAGUGAAGUUGAUUAUUGGUCAGGCUUGUUACAUGUAGCUUUUAUAAAUAGAACUGAAAGUAUCUUGUUACCAGCCUAAGUCUAAAGCAGCAGACACAUGGUCCUUGACCUUCUCAACAUAGAACAUUAGUUCUGGCAUACAAUUAGUGUAUGCAGCUGGCACACUCAUGGGUCAAACAAUAACAAAAAGAAGCUAAAACACUUAAAUGGAAUUUGUUACUGAAGGUUUAAGAGAAACCAGGAAAGAAAAAUCUAGUAGUCCUUAUCAAAGGGAGGUAGCUGAGGAUAAAACAGUUGGUAAUAUCUGGGAUGUUUAAACUUCCUAGCCAUGAAAUGUACUAACAAGUAGUCAAUUAUACAAACAAGACAUGGUCUCUUUCAUUUAAUAUUUACUAAGUCAUUUUACUCAAAUACUUAACUGGGAAAAUAAAUCAAGAAAUGAAUUGUUGUUUGCUGAACCACAUUUUAAAUUGGCAAAUAAGGCAUUUUUAACAUGAGAAGGAAAAUAACCCAUUGGAUGAUACAGCUGAGACUAUCAAAUUCUUUGUGAUGCUUGUAGAUAUCCUUAAUAAUUUACAUUAUAAUAAUUUCGUAUUCCUUAUGCUAGGACAACUUUGUACAAAAGCUCUUUCUUCCCUAGUGCCAUUAAAGAAAAGAAUGGGUUGCCCAAAUCUACCAGGAAAACCAACAACUUCGUAGAGUUUAAAGUCACUGAUUAACAUGUAUGACUAGAUUGACACAUGAAAUGAAUAGGAUGUAAAUAUAUUCUUUUUUGAAGUAAAGUCUGUAAAAUGAUGAAUUUUUUCACCCAGCUUGAAUGAAUACCUGACAUUAGUUAGAGUAAAUCCAUGACAGUCUAAUUGAAGGUAACUGAAAUAUACCAUUUACCUUUA